This 201-nucleotide long non-coding RNA is filed under the name Brassica rapa (field mustard). RNAcentral's name for it is "long non-coding RNA (BRAP_LNC004371)". The record is from RNAcentral. Lineage: Eukaryota; Viridiplantae; Streptophyta; Magnoliopsida; Brassicales; Brassicaceae.
UAGAAGUCGGUUUUAUUAGUUUAAACUCUUUUAUAUUUAGAAAUAUGGAAGGUUCUCCUUGUCGGAAGUUUUCUAUUUCUUGGAAGGGAGUAGGGUCCAGGGACCGAGCCCAGGGUUCCCUCUGAGGGGGACUCGGGGAACCCGUUUACUAGGGAUCCGGGGAUCUGAGUCCUGCCUGGAGGCUGGGAGAAAUAAUACCGG